UACGUAGGGGGCAAGCGUUAUCCGGAAUUACUGGGUGUAAAGGGUGCGCAGGCGGUUUCGCAAGUUUGAUGUGAAACCUAAGGGCUUAACCCAUAGCAUGCAUCGAAAACUACGGGACUAGAGUGCAGGAGAGGAAAGCGGAAUUCCUAGUGUAGCGGUGAAAUGCGUAGAUAUUAGGAAGAACACCAGUGGCGAAGGCGGCUUUCUGGACUGCAACUGACGCUCAGGCACGGAAGCGUGGGGAGCAAAC
RNAcentral lists this ribosomal RNA (250 nucleotides) under uncultured prokaryote. RNAcentral describes it as "partial 16S ribosomal RNA". It matches the Rfam family "Bacterial small subunit ribosomal RNA", at positions 524 to 773 of the family's 1533-position model. The record is from RNAcentral.